GGUAAAAGCCUACCAAGGCCACGAUCAGUAGCCGACCUGAGAGGGUGAUCGGCCACAUUGGAACUGAGACACGGUCCAAACUCCUACGGGAGGCAGCAGUGGGGAAUAUUGCACAAUGGGCGAAAGUCUGACGGAGCAACGCCGCGUGAGUGAAGAAGGCCUUCGGGUUGUAAAGCUCUGUUAUUCGGGAAGAACGAUUCGUUUGUGAACAAUGAACGGAAGUGACGGUACCGAAAGAGAAAGCCACGGCUAACUAC
This 257-nucleotide ribosomal RNA is filed under the name uncultured bacterium. Its description in RNAcentral is "partial 16S ribosomal RNA". It matches the Rfam family "Bacterial small subunit ribosomal RNA", at positions 256 to 504 of the family's 1533-position model. The record is from RNAcentral.